ACGUGGGUGACUGGAGUUCCUGAUGAGGAAGUGAUAAAGAGCGAGCGAGCUAGCAGGGGCCGCCAUGCAGCAGCAAGCUGCACAUGCACAACUGGAGUUCAAAGAAAGACAGAUGACAUCAAGGCAAGACCUAGAAGCCAGCCGGGCAAGCUGAGGAACAGCGCACUGGUUAAAGGAGCAAGGCAAACCAAACAGACAAGACUGGAGAGUGAAUACACAGCUCUCAGCUCAAAGGGGAUCAGGAAAUUCUGAGUACAGAUGUUGACGGAAGUUGACCUUCGACCAAAACCUGUGCAUUCAGAAAGUACCGACCACAGCUUCCUCCCUGCAGAUGACUGUAGCCUGACACUGCUCCCUCACAGAGACCACCUAUGGAGAUAAGCUGAGCCAUCUCUUCAUCCGUGCUGUAUAUCAUAAACACAUUGAGCUUCAGGACUACUGCUUGUAUGUCUCCAUCUGAGUACAUGGCCACUGGGUCCCAGCCUUACAUAAUUUAUAUCUAUCUUAUUCUUCAUGGCCCCCAGUCUGAUCAAGACCAAAGCCAUGUGGGUUUCUGCGGGAAGUCCUUUCUAAAGGGAGUCAAGGGUGGUAGCAUACUGAUAAUAUUGACAGAUGAUCACCAUUCCUAAGCAUGAUCAAUCCACCUCCUGCCUUCUAGACUCAGUGAUGGGGGAGAAGGCCAGGGCUCCUCUGGCAUCAGAUAAUCAGGAAGGGGUUUGAGAUAGCUGCCUUGUGUUUCCAGGCCAGUCCAUCUCAAAAUAAAGACAUUUUCUGC
Molecule: long non-coding RNA, 775 nt
Filed under: Mus musculus (house mouse)
Lineage: Eukaryota; Metazoa; Chordata; Mammalia; Rodentia; Muridae
Description: RIKEN cDNA 3300005D01 gene, transcript variant 3 (3300005D01Rik)
Source: RNAcentral